Long non-coding RNA from Nicotiana tabacum (common tobacco), 901 nucleotides. RefSeq lists it as uncharacterized. NCBI's taxonomy places the organism in Eukaryota, Viridiplantae, Streptophyta, Magnoliopsida, Solanales, Solanaceae. The record is from RefSeq and is a predicted model, not a curated record.
AAAUCCAUUGAAUCCACCAUUUGUAAAAACGAGCACCCCCAUCAGAUUUUCAUUUCUUCUCCUUCACAUUCCAAAAACUGUAGGCUUCAUCUUCUUUACAAAACCAGCCACAGAUAUCUUUUAAUCAGUCACACUUCCAUCUCAACAAAAAAAACAACACCCAUCAGCUAGACAUCACCCUCACAACUAACGAGCUGAAAAGCAGCCUAUUUCCCGGCGAAAUUUCAGCUGUAAAACCAUCUCUCAAACAGCCCCGAACCAGCUCAAAAAUGACCCCAACCAGCCCAAAACGAAGCCAUGUAGUAGCUGCGAUUUUCAUUCGAGGUUCUCCGAUCAAGCUUCGGUUCCGGCUCCUAUUCAUACCAUUAUUGCUAUAAUUCCUUGAGGUUGCUGGGUUCGGCGAAUUUGUCGCUGGAUUCGUCCUUCGAGGUAUCGUUUGAGGUUAAGUUCAUGGAUCUUAAUCCCGUUUUGCUGCUGUCUCGCUAUCUCUUUGUUAGAUACUUCAAUUCCGGCACCAAAUUUCUCUGUAUUUGACUCCAAAUGAGAUUAAUCAAAGUUGCGGUUUCAUUUUUGCUCGUGUAACUAUGGAACGUUUUUCUUGAGAAAUUGAAACUUCAACUUUCAGGUCCCGAUAGACAGGUCGAGAGCCCUCCAAGUAGACUUUCAGCUCAACAGAAGAUGUUGGUGCGCUAUAUUUGCUUCGGAGUUGCUUGUUUGGUUAGUAUGGUUUAGAUGUGUUUUGUUUGGUAUGGCGUGACUCUAUCCCUGCCUUUAAAAAAUUAUGUAUUCUUAGAGGCUUAUAGAUAGAUUUCAUGUACGUAAAUUAUGGCAUGACUCUAUCCCUGCCUUUAUAAAAUUAUGUAUUCUUAGAGGCUUAUAGAUAGAUUUCAUGUACGUAAAA